GGUCCACCGCGGUAGCACGCGCCGAAACCGCGUGAGCGCCGACCGCGGAGAGUUUGGCCGUCGCGCGUGUCCGUGUCGCCCCCGAACGGCUGUUCAGUACCGUUCAAAACGCGUUUGCGAGUGCAUCGCAAUGUCUUAACACACCCAUCGUCACGUGCGUUCACCCCGUCAUCAUCGGUAACCGUUAACGUUAUCGUCUGGUAUCGCAGUUUUUCCCACGAUGUCGUUUCGUCCGUAUCCGUUAUCGACACAUCGGCCAGAGCUUCGUCUCGGACGCCAGUCUUGAACAGACUCGAACACCGGUUUCCGGGAAACGAUGUUUUAUGGUUAUUUUUAUGUCACAAAGGAAAUAUUCAGCUGUAAAAGGGAAAUGGUUUAAAGGGAAAAUGGCGGACACUGCUAAUAUUACGGAUUCAAGUUAUGGUGAUACGCCGUAUCCAGAUGACGGUACUUCAUGGUUGGACUCUCCUACGUCUAAUCAAGUGUUGGGCAUCGAGGAGACCGAAGAGACGUCCACUAUGCCGUCGGACAUGAUACCCACGGGAACUGGAGGUCCUAUUGUGAUACGAACCGAAGAGGCAUUUAUCGUAAUAUGUGUGAUGAUACUGUGGGUAGCGGCCAUCGCGUUGUUUUUCAACCGGUGGGGAAAAAUUCGCAUGCUUGAACCAUACCAGCCUAAAUUUCACGAGGAAGAGCACCGUCCAAGCUGUCCCAUGGUCGAGUUGGCUAGCGCUUCAGGAAUCGGUCACAGCAUAACCGGAGGGCACCGUACGUCGUUCUCCAAGUUCAAUGUCAACAGCUGCUUGGAACCUUCGGCCAUAUUCCAAACAAUUCAGCCCACGCACCGGGCGCUGCAGAUUCGACCACGACAGAACUCGAUGUUCGCCGGUGGAGGGGCGUUGCCGGGGGCUUGUGGCCCGCCGCUGUCCGGCCACUGCACGCUAAUGGCCGGUCGUCCGCGCAAGGCCAAGUCAGCGGCUGACAUCAAGUCGCUGGUGCAGCAUGAGUGCGGCCCCGCGCGCACCAGUCGAUCCAUGUUACCGAUGACGGUGGGUGCGGCCGCGGUGGCCGCGGUAGCCGAUCGUCGGGUGUCGUGUGCCGCGUCGUCUUUCGGCGGCUAUGGCGGCGGUGGUGGCUACGGCGGCAGUGGUUACGGUUCGCUGAUGGUAUCCGCGGUCAAGGAGCGUAGGUCGUGCAGCCUGUUCCCGUCACCGGGCUCCGCGUCCGCCGCCGAGAAACGGUUGUUCUCGUCGUCAUCGUCCAAUACGCCACCCGCGCCCUGCCUGUGCGACAUGCCGUUCGGUGGCCAGUCCGGGUCGUCAUCGUGGGCGUCGGCCAAACGCGAUUUCCUCCUGACACCGUCCACAUCGCUCGGCGGCGGCCCCGGCUUCAGCGGUGGCGCGGCCGGUCGGCGCACGUCCUGUGGGAUGGACCAUCUGUGUCCCACGUCUAUCACGCUCAAGGACCGUCGGCCUUCAUUCAACAACGUUAUCGCGCAGGUGACGGCCGAGCGGCGUCCUUCGUCCAGCAUGCUAAGGAUAAGCAACGUCUAGCGCACGGCCGCGGAACACCAAACGCACGUGCAACGGUACAGCGACGAUCCCGCGAGUCGCUUGUCUUGUCCGAGCGCGCGUGUACAUAGCAAACCAUUUUACUAUCGAUUUCACGUUCACACGUUUAUUUGUUUUGAUUUUUUGUUUCUCUCGUCAAACAACGCUCUCAAACGCCGUCCGUCCGUCGUACGUACGUGUUCGGUCGCGUCUCGCCGAUCGGAAACGUUUCCGGCCUGGUCGGCGAUUCGUACCGGAACGCGUAUGCGCGUUCUCCGCAGGAAACCGGAUAAACAACCUCCUGGUGGUAAUCUAGUACGGUUUACCGCGUUCACCGUACGGGUUUUGUUUGAACAAACGUUGAGUUCCAGCCACGACGUACACCCAAACGUGUCCGAACAAGGAGCCGAGACGAGCCAUGCGCCGAGAACGUUUGCGCGUCUCGUGUGUAUUUCAACGUUCUAGGUCGUCCGCUGACAUGGUGGUGGGGUGCACGUGAUUACACUCGAAACCCGAACGUUCGAGUCGUCCAUCUGCUUUUCGCGUGCGCACCAGUCAUCACCGCGACCGAUCCGCGAUGCGUCCCAAUACCGUCCCGAUCCAUGUCCAGGUCUAGUAGCGGGCAUAGACUCUGACACAGGCCGAGACUCUUUUAACGUCAGACGCCGGGGCGUGGGAUAUGAACCGAUGGCCGUUUACUGCGUGAUGGUGAUACAGCCGUCUUUAAAUCUCAACACUCGAGCACGAGUUAGUUUAUAUUUUAAGGAUGAAAAGCGGUUACCGGACCACAGUAAACUUAAGCUCUAUUACGAGGAUAAAAGAGAAAAAAUAAUUUUCUAUAAUAUUUUAAAUAAUUAUAUAUAAGAUUUUCUGUAUACAUAUAAAUUAGUAUUUUAUGGUGAUUCAUUUAUAAUAUAUUUAGAAGGAUAGUUUAAGACAUCGGUUGUAACUACUAACAAAUAAAUUGAUAGUUUUCAAUUAUCGGUUCCAUGAUGCCGACAAUAUUUAUCAUAUUGUACUAAUUAGAUAUAUAAU
RNAcentral lists this unclassified non-coding RNA (2585 nucleotides) under Sipha flava (yellow sugarcane aphid). RNAcentral's name for it is "uncharacterized LOC112689440, transcript variant X2". Lineage: Eukaryota; Metazoa; Arthropoda; Insecta; Hemiptera; Aphididae. The record is from RNAcentral.